Molecule: small nuclear RNA, 94 nt
Filed under: Myotis brandtii (Brandt's bat)
Lineage: Eukaryota; Metazoa; Chordata; Mammalia; Chiroptera; Vespertilionidae
Source: RNAcentral
GUGCUUUGGCAACAGAUACUAAAAUUGAAACAAUAGAUUAGCAUGGUCCUUAUACAAGGAUGACAUGCAAAUUAAUGAAGUUGUCUAUUUUUUU